GGAUGCAAGGACGAUCUGGCUGUGACAUCUGCCACCCUAUUGAUCACCGGAGGUAAUAGGAACGAGCUGGCUGGCAAGGUGGCUGUUCCCUUUCCCUCGCCAGUCCUUACGUGUCCAUCAAAAAGCUAUGCUCUCGAUCAGCGAAGAGGAUACCCUUCUCUGAAUUGAGGAGGACCGGUCUUCGAUCAAGGGUCUACAAGUAGCUGUCUCUCCUGCUAGAACCCCCAAACAAGCCCUCAGAGUCAUUUUCUUUAAAACCCCAUAUGUCCAGAGAUCCCGUCAGUAGCAUCUCCAGCGUCUGAGUUCUGAAGGCUGUGGCCAUAGGAA
Molecule: small nuclear RNA, 327 nt
Filed under: Peromyscus maniculatus bairdii (prairie deer mouse)
Lineage: Eukaryota; Metazoa; Chordata; Mammalia; Rodentia; Cricetidae
Description: 7SK RNA (ENSPEMG00000003488.2)
Rfam family: 7SK RNA
About the family: 7SK was discovered as an abundant small nuclear RNA in the mid-70s but a possible function has only recently been suggested. Two independent studies have found that 7SK RNA binds the CDK9/cyclin T complex (known as elongation factor P-TEFb).
Source: RNAcentral